RNAcentral lists this ribosomal RNA (239 nucleotides) under uncultured bacterium. RNAcentral describes it as "partial 16S ribosomal RNA". It matches the Rfam family "Bacterial small subunit ribosomal RNA", at positions 102 to 339 of the family's 1533-position model. The record is from RNAcentral.
ACGGGUGAGUAACGCGUGGGUAAUCUGCCCUUUGGUUGGGGAUAACAGUCCGAAAGGACUGCUAAUACCGAAUAAGUCAAUCAGCCCCGCGGGGAGGAUUGGGAAAGGCUUCGGCCGCCGAAGGAUGAGCCCGCGUACCAUUAGGUAGUUGGUGAGGUAAUGGCUCACCAAGCCAAAGAUGGUUAGCUGGUCUGAGAGGAUGAUCAGCCACACUGGGACUGAGACACGGCCCAGACUCC